AACCUCUUGUCAUACCCUUGCAGACCAGCAGGCAUCCUGCCCCUGGGGAAUGGCAGGGUCUGCACGGCCGCUGCUGACCCAGCGAUGUGUGCAGCCCUGCUGCCACCAGCACCUGCACCCCGCUGCCUGCUGUCCCCCACAGAGCCAGAAUCAGGGACACCUUCCGGGGGCAGUCAGGAGAUCAAAUGCAUGAAGCUCUGCUGCUCCAGCUGAGGGGAGAGCUGGCAGCAGCCUGUGCUUGACGUCCUCUCACUUGGACAUGGAGCUGGGGCAAUGCACCCUGUGCCAGCCCUAACCUGGCUUCUGCUGGCGUCUGGCAGCAGGAAAAGCACCCUGAAAGUGCCAGACAUCAGCGUGGCACCCCAGGCAUGUCGGAAUACAGGUGUGUAGGUGAUGUGACUGAUCUCCAGAGGUUUUGGAGAAGGAUGAGCAAUGGCUGAUGGACUGUAAUCAUCUGCAGGGCUUUCUGCAGAGAAACACCAGAAAAGAAGGCAUUUUAUAGUCUACUGAGAUACAAGGAUACUGCAAAUGGGGACCAGAACUUACUUUCUGAGGUUGUAGUUGACCCACAACGAUUUUGACUCAGGUUAAUGGAAAAUUAGAUUUAAAUAUAAUGAAGUCAAAAUGCAAAACGAUACACUAGA
Long non-coding RNA from Cygnus olor (mute swan), 644 nucleotides. RefSeq lists it as uncharacterized. NCBI's taxonomy places the organism in Eukaryota, Metazoa, Chordata, Aves, Anseriformes, Anatidae. The transcript has 3 exons. The record is from RefSeq and is a predicted model, not a curated record.